This 615-nucleotide long non-coding RNA is filed under the name Aquilegia coerulea. RNAcentral describes it as "long non-coding RNA (ACOE_LNC001892)". Lineage: Eukaryota; Viridiplantae; Streptophyta; Magnoliopsida; Ranunculales; Ranunculaceae. The record is from RNAcentral.
AUGCAGUGCAUGCUGCAAAUCUUAAAAUCAUAGUUGUUACAAUUCAUACAUUUAUACAUUUUGAUACACACUCACACAUGCACAACACACACACACACAAUUUCUCUCAUAUCUGACAAACCAUGCUGUAAUUUUUUUUCUUUUUUAUCAAUAAAUAAUCCAGCCUUAUAUUAAAAUCAAGUUUGGAUUAUCUGUAAAAAAGAAUUGACGGCAUGGUUUUAGUCAUGUAUGAGAAAUGUAUGUACCAAAUCAACAAGCCAUGGACAACGAUUCUGAUGAGAAUUCCGGCAGAUACAAUUUACCGGCGAACAAGAAAUCAUUUACAAAGUUAGUAUCAAGGUGUCCUUCAGCUAUUUUAGCUGAAAGACACCUUCAUACCUCUUCUGAGCGAUUCUUGAAUCAUCACCGAGUUCAAUCAACACCAGUCUUCAUAUCUCUUUCUUUAAUUUCACUACCUCACUAUCUUUUACUUACUUCUAUUUUCUUUAAUUUUAAUUUAUUACUUUGGUUAUGUUUUUUUGUUUGUUUUGUAGAUUACACCAGAAACAGUGGUGUUACUAGCGCUCAUCCUCACUUAUCUGUGUUUCUUCACCGGUUAGUGGUGCUUUCUUCGGU